UCGCUGACAAGUGGCAGUUGCUCAGUCAGUAUAGUUCACUUGUGGACUACAGACCACAGAGUUUGUUAGUGCUGUAUGUUUACGCACAUGAAUCAGUGACUGGCAGACAUACAGAUAAUUAUGUAUGUAGAUUUCCAUGGUGGAAUAGAAACAGGCCUGUUAUAUUGCUUUCGGCUUUAGGAAAUUUGACAAGAGGUGAGUGUUGAUAAAACUGUUAUCAAUUCUGAAUAGAUAACUGCAGGUGUGUAGACUGAUGCCACCAGUCUGUCUAAUGGAGCAGCAUGUCACAGAUUUAGAUGUACAUAUUUAUUGCAUGUCUGUCUUUUCAAAAAAUUAUACUAAAUUCUCAGCAUGUAAUCUGCUAUGUAAAUACAUGUCUGAGAUGCAAUUUCUUUCAUAUUGUCAAAGAACUUAAGGCAACUAGUCCUAAACAUAUGGUAUAUGAAAUUGUUUCUCAGGUUUCAAAUUGAUGGACCGAAGAACAUGGGCACAAAGUUUUACGUGUCCUACGUCAUUCAGAAUUACUGGAGUUUUGGACUUUUCCCAUCGUCCGGUAGUCUAGAGAAUGGAAAACACGAUGUUUCGGAAAUUGGAUCUGUUUCCAUCUUCAGGUGAAGAAGAAGACACGUACUCAGUUGAGCACCUUAGAAAGAGAAUCUACAAUGUCAUUGUCAUUUCAACCCCAUACAAAUUUGUUUGGUCCCAGGUUGAGAGAUAUUAUAGCAGCAGCACUGGUCAAGAUGGAACUGGAACAGAAGUUGUGAAUAAGGUGUGAGAACAGUAUUUGUGCAGAAACAUGUUGCCUGAUACAGAGUCAAAGUCUGUGAACAACUUAUGCAAGAUAACGAUGAAUAGGCUUACUGAUGAAAGAACAGAUCAUCUACAGUGUGAAGCAGUGCCUGCAAUAGCAGAGGUGCAUGCCUUGAAAUCAGAACAGGAUGCAAUGAAACUGUAUUUUUACAGACUUAAAUUUCAAAGUAAAAAAAA
This is a long non-coding RNA of Cryptotermes secundus, 987 nucleotides long. RefSeq lists it as uncharacterized. Lineage: Eukaryota; Metazoa; Arthropoda; Insecta; Blattodea; Kalotermitidae. The transcript is spliced from 2 exons. The record is from RefSeq and is a predicted model, not a curated record.